RNAcentral lists this ribosomal RNA (1567 nucleotides) under Hylomyscus heinrichorum. Its description in RNAcentral is "16S ribosomal RNA". It matches the Rfam family "Bacterial large subunit ribosomal RNA". Lineage: Eukaryota; Metazoa; Chordata; Mammalia; Rodentia; Muridae. The record is from RNAcentral.
ACCAAUUCUAGCCCUAACAUCAAUCUACAUAACCAUUUAACUACAUAAAACAAAACAUUUACCUCUAUAAAGUAUUGGAGAAAGAAAUUUACAUUUAGGAGCUAUAGAGCAAGUACCGUAAGGGAAAGAUGAAAGAUCAAUUUAUAGUACAAACAAGCAAAGAUUAAACCUUGUACCUUUUGCAUAAUGAAUUAACUAGAAACUUUCUGACUAAAAGAAUUUAAGCCAGGAACCCCGAAACCAAACGAGCUACCUAAAAACAAUUUUAUGAAUCAACCCGUCUAUGUAGCAAAAUAGUGGGAAGAUUUUUAGGUAGAGGUGAAAAGCCUAACGAGCUUGGUGAUAGCUGGUAACCCAAAAAAUGAAUUUUAGUUCAACUUUAAGUUUACUAACAGAACAAAAAAAUCUAUACGUAAACUUAAAUUAUAGCCAAAAGAGGGACAGCUCUUUAGGAAUGGAAAAACCUUUAAUAGUGAAUAAAUCAAUGUAAUAGUAACCAUUGUUGGCCUAAAAGCAGCCAUCAAUAAAGAAAGCGUUCAAGCUCAACAUAAUUAAUAAAAUUAAUUCCUAAACUACUAUAACUUCCUAAACUACAAACUGGGUUAUUCUAUUACUCUAUAGAAGAAACAUUGUUAAUAUGAGUAACAAGAACUAAUUCUCCAAGCACAAGUGUAUAACAACCCGGAUAACCAUUGUUAGUUACCAGACUAUAGAUAUUAAACCUCAAAUAAAUUUAUCUAAAAUUAACCUGUUAACCCAACACAGGAGUGCAUAAAGGAAAGAUAAACCAAAAUAAAAGGAACUCGGCAAACUAGAACCCCGCCUGUUUACCAAAAACAUCACCUCUAGCAUUUCAAGUAUUAGAGGCAUUGCCUGCCCAGUGACUAUAGUUUAACGGCCGCGGUAUCCUGACCGUGCAAAGGUAGCAUAAUCAUUUGUUCCUUAAUUAGGGACUAGUAUGAAUGGCUAGACGAGGGUUCAGCUGUCUCUUAUUUUUAAUCAGUGAAAUUGACCUCCCAGUGAAGAGGCUGGGAUAUAAUAAUAAGACGAGAAGACCCUAUGGAGCUUAAAUUAAUUAGCUUAACUACUGUUUUAAUACCCUAUAUGGCAUAAAAACAAAAAAAAAUCAUAAGCUUAAAAUUUUGGUUGGGGUGACCUCGGAGAAUAAAAGAUCCUCCGAAUGAUAAUUAACUUAGACCUACAAGUCAAAGUAGCCUAACUAUCUUAUUGACCCAAAAAAAUUGAUCAACGGACCAAGUUACCCUAGGGAUAACAGCGCAAUCCUAUUUAAGAGUUCAUAUCGACAAUAGGGUUUACGACCUCGAUGUUGGAUCAGGACAUCCCAAUGGUGCAGAAGCUAUUAAUGGUUCGUUUGUUCAACGAUUAAAGUCCUACGUGAUCUGAGUUCAGACCGGAGAAAUCCAGGUCGGUUUCUAUCUAUUAACAAUUUCUCCCAGUACGAAAGGAUAAGAGAAAUAGAGCCACCUUAACAAAAGUGCUCUAAACUAAAUUUAUGAAAAUAAUCUAAAUAAAAUAAAUCUGUUAAUUUAAGCACCUAGACAAGGUC